UACGUAGGGGGCGAGCGUUAUCCGGAAUUAUUGGGCGUAAAGAGUGCGUAGGUGGUUACCUAAGCGCAAGGUUUAAGCUUGAGGCUCAACCUCAUUUUGCCUUGCGAACUGGGCUACUUGAGUGCAGGAGGGGAAAGCGGAAUUCCUAGUGUAGCGGUGAAAUGCGUAGAUAUUAGGAAGAACACCAGUGGCGAAGGCGGCUUUCUGGACUGUAACUGACACUGAGGCACGAAAGCGUGGGGAGCAAACAGG
Molecule: ribosomal RNA, 252 nt
Filed under: uncultured bacterium
Lineage: Bacteria
Description: partial 16S ribosomal RNA
Rfam family: Bacterial small subunit ribosomal RNA
Source: RNAcentral